This 206-nucleotide unclassified non-coding RNA is filed under the name Hevea brasiliensis (rubber tree). Lineage: Eukaryota; Viridiplantae; Streptophyta; Magnoliopsida; Malpighiales; Euphorbiaceae. The record is from RNAcentral.
UUUUUUUUUUUUUUUGUUGGGUUUGAGGGGAGGGGUGCCAAAUUUGAUAUUUUCCUUUCAAGUAAAAUGGCUAAGGCAUUGUGUCCUGGAUUAAUGUUUCUUCUUCAUUUCCUCCUCCUGAUUGGUUUUCUAUUCUUCUUUAUUUAUUUCCCCUUUAUUUUCCUUGCUUAUUGUUAGGUCUGCUGAUUAUGGUAUUGUGUUGCAGG